Rattus norvegicus (Norway rat) is the source of this 2295-nucleotide non-coding RNA. Lineage: Eukaryota; Metazoa; Chordata; Mammalia; Rodentia; Muridae. The record is from RefSeq and is a predicted model, not a curated record.
UUUUUUGACUUUUGUUUCGUGUUUGAAUUUGGACUGACGACCGUGUUUAAAAUCUUGGACCGACGACUGUGUUUGAAAUCAUGAAACUGUUUGCUUUGUUCGUUGAAGAGUUUUACUUGGUCCCCUUAAUGCUUAGUGAGUAAGGAACUUAAUUUUGUGGACCCCGCUCUAGUGGCGGUGUGUUGGUUGAUAGCCAAAGUUAAUUUUUAAAAUAGUGUUUUAUCUGUGCUUGUGCUCGCAGCACACAGUAGAGGGGAGCGAAAUUAGCUGCGGAGCUGCUGCAGCGAGCAUGGGGACUUCUCAAGUCUCACCCAAUUUUUCUGGCUCUUCAGGAGCUGUUUAAAAGGAAAAGGCUUAAGGUAAAAAGAAACACUAUAGAGAGAUUUCUUAGUGAAUUACUACACCUUGGUUCGCGAUCUCUGGGAAUCUCAUGGUGGACAGCUGAGAUAAGCUGGAAAAGGAUUUAAAUUUUGCUUGGGAGCAAAGAAUCUUAAAGGCGGAGUUUCAGCCGGUAUGACACUUAGUGCUUAGCUGCCUAAAAGAUCAGAAAUGCUGUCAACAGGCUAUAAAAAAGGGACAGGCUGUGUUAAAAAUGCUACAUGAAUAAUAAUCUAAAAAGGCUGAGAGCUAGGUGGGGCUAUAAGGAAAACAAGAACAGGAAAGGAAUUUCUGACAUUUGCUCACAGAAGGAGAGUGCUCAUUUAGAGAAGUUCUUUAAGGAAGCCUGCCUUAUCUGCUGUCUUUAUUCCAAGGGAGGAGUCAGUCUCCAGCACUAAAUUACUUGGAGGUAGCCAAGGUCAGGAUUAAUGUUUUCUUUUCCAUGGGCCUUUAAACCCAGUGAGACAGUUUGGUAAAGGGCUACUACUGAGGUCCUGAUAGCCCCAGGUGAACUGGUUACAAUUCUUUUAUCAGCCCCCUGGCAUCUAGCACCCAGGUUCUAACCAUCUCUCCAUCCUUUUGUUAUUAGUUGUUACUAGAAGCCUAGUGUCAUUUGGAGGCUGGUUCUCUUGAGAGGCAAAGCCAUGGAGCUGACACUGACAAUGGCCUUUUUGUUCCAAGAAAGGCCUCCUGGUUUAGCUGUGUGACUAAAUGCUGUUUGCCCUCUUCGGUAGACUCUAUUCUCAAGAUUCUCUUGUUUUCUCACCAUCCCAUUUGAUAUGCUUGUUAGUAACUGUUACAGGUCUUCUUUACCACCGAUGAAAGACGGAAUCCUACUGGAGACCAGAAAAAAAUGUUCCAGACACGGAUAGAAGGCCCUCACUUCUGCCUGCUCUCUUCAGACGCCUGAAGGCUAAAAGACCUACAGGUGAUACAGAAAGAAAUCUGCUCACAGCUGACAGCAGCCUAUGCCCCGGAGACCCCUGAGACAUCCCAUCAGUUCCAGGUUGCAGCUACACUGAGUCCAGACACUCGAGCCUCGCUGGAAAGGACCGUACCUGGUGCUGCUGACCACCCUGACAGCUGUCAAUUCUCAGCCCUCACCAGCCGUGUACUAGCUGUUGGGGCUGAGAGCUGGGACCUAGAGGGAAAUUUAGUCAUGUUUGUCCUGGGUUCUAUCAAGAUAGGUGUGGGAUAGGCUUGAUUUCCAUUACAAAUGAUGUAACAUUGCAUAUGUUAGUACUCUUAACACUUCUUGGGACUGUGCCUCAGGGAUCACAGUCCGUAUAAGCUUAGAAGUUCUAAAAGCUAGUCAUGACCUUGGUGGAUAGGCUUGGAUAGUGUCCAGGUUAGAAUCCUCAUGUUAAGACUACAAUACCAAGCUGUUAUGCUAGAUGAAGCUGAGUUCUCCAUGAAGUUCUAGGAUUAGAACUAUUAACAAAAAAAGAAGAAGUGGGGAAUGAAGGAUUAAAAAUUAAUAAUAAGCCGCCUAGCUACCCAAAAAGAAGAGGUAGGGUCUGUGAGAACAUGAACUUUUCGCCCCUCCCUUGCUGUGCAAUGGUUCCCGGAACAUUCUUGCAUGAAAGGUUUCCUGGAACAGCCACAAUGACCCAUAGCCUCCGGCCACAAUGGUCCAAUGGCCCUGUAAAAUGUCGCAAAGUCCUGGGUGUGUUGCCUAGUGUUGCACGUGGCUAGCAUAUGGCCUAGAUGUAUGGGCAGUUUAUGGUUUUGGAAUUCCCCUCCUCCCUCCCUCUUGAUCCCCCUGGUUUGUGGUUUUUUCCUUUAUAAGCUCUGUGAAAAUUCAGGUCGGGGUCGAACUCCUCUACUCCCUGUGUGGUGUAUGAGUCUCGACCCCAGCAUGCUGGCCUGAGCUCUCGUUUCAUCUCGCUCACAAUAAAUCUUCCUCGUGUGAUUACA